Molecule: ribosomal RNA, 615 nt
Filed under: uncultured bacterium
Lineage: Bacteria
Description: bacterial SSU rRNA
Rfam family: Bacterial small subunit ribosomal RNA
Source: RNAcentral
AGAGUUUGAUCCUGGCUCAGGACGAACGCUGGCGGCGUGCUUAACACAUGCAAGUCGAACGAGACGAUUGAAAGCUUGCUUUUGAAAGUCGAGUGGCAAACGGGUGAGUAACGCGUAGACAACCUGCCGUAAAGAUGGGGACAACAGUCCGAAAGGACUGCUAAUACCGAAUGUUGUGGAACUUCCGCAUGGGAGCUCCACUAAAGAUGGCCUCUACUUGUAAGCUAUCGCUUUACGAUGGGUCUGCGUCUGAUUAGCUAGUUGGUGGGGUAACGGCUUACCAAGGCGACGAUCAGUAGCCGGUCUGAGAGGAUGAACGGCCACAUUGGAACUGAGACACGGUCCAGACUCCUACGGGAGGCAGCAGUGGGGAAUCUUCCGCAAUGGGCGCAAGCCUGACGGAGCAACGCCGCGUGAGUGAAGAAGGGUUUCGACUCGUAAAGCUCUGUUGUCGGGGACGAAUGUGGAGGUUGUGAAUAACAGCUUCCAAUGACGGUACCUGACGAGGAAGCCACGGCUAACUACGUGCCAGCAGCCGCGGUAAUACGGUNNNGGCGAGCGUUGCCCGGAUUAUGGGCGUAAAGGGAGCGNNGCGGAGAUCAGUCUUNNUUUANA